AAGCUCUGGUUGCACUUUCUCUUCCGCUUGCGGGGGCGGCCAACUUCUGAGGGUGGCGGAGUCACCGCGGCGCCACGGCACGUGCGUCUUCCCCUCUCGUUUCUGCGGCCCAGACGGAGGAGGCCGGAAGAGAAGACACUUCCGCUCUCUGAACACGGCUUUUCUCGGCUUUUCUCGACUAAGUUCGCCAGCGCGUUAGGGGACUGGCCCAGUUGGCGGCAUGAAACUACCAAUGGGCGUGAAACUAAGUAUAAGGCUGAGAAUGGUGUCAUGGAACAAAGAAUAAUCACCAUUUCUUAAAAGGCCCCGGUCUAAAGUGAACACAGCUUGGGAGUUUACCUGUGGCAGCUAGAGCCCCCACUGUCAGCGAGUAAGGACAACUGUCAGCUUCUCAGCUCCCCCUGGUACCGAGGUGGAGUGGAACUCAAGCCCGAAGACACUGCUGCUAAUGACGAUGACAAAAAGAGCUGCCCGGGACCCGAAGUUUGCUAGGCAGCCUAUACCUGCUGCAACCGUGCAGUGAAAAACACCCAGCAAGAAGAGGCUGUGCCGUGGCACCCGCUUUAAAGAUGCAUCUGGACAAGCUGGGAGCUCGCAAUGUGUUGCCCCCAUCUCAUCCACAUCUGCCGAGCAGUUUGCCCCGGACUCCUGGCUCCCAGCUCCUCCCGGAGAAGAAGCUGAGAAGCAGCAGGCUUGGCUGCCGCCCAGCGGCCCGUCUGUAAUCUUCCUGCUCAACACCACAUCUUGGCAGCAGCAGGAGGCAGGCUCAGGCUGCCCCAGAAGCCAGCCUUGAGACUGGUGACUCAGCGGGGGAGGUGGCGGGUGGGACUUGGGGCCCCGGGGGCCAGGACUGAUGACAACUGAGCAGAAGACAGGAAGAUGAGUCCUGAGCCCAAGCUGAGCAGCAAUCUAAUGAAUUCACAGCAAUUCCGUUUGUGUGGCUGAAUCCUCCCUGUGGGUUUAGAGGAUCCCUCCCUGUGGGUUUAGAUCCCCUGCUUCCUGCUUUCUAAAAUGCAGCCUGACCAAGGUCUAGAUGCCGCAGCCAAGUGACCCCUCUUUUCCUUUGCUGCCACCCACCCCCACCCCCAAACCCAAGCAAUUAUACAGGAACAUCCAAAGAGAUGUGGGU
Molecule: long non-coding RNA, 1129 nt
Organism: Neofelis nebulosa (Clouded leopard)
Lineage: Eukaryota; Metazoa; Chordata; Mammalia; Carnivora; Felidae
Exons: 3
Source: RefSeq, a predicted model, not a curated record